CUCACAUCUCAUCAUGUAGGCAUUUUAUCAUCUCACAUCAUCACAGGAAGAAGAGGAGUACUCAAAGUCAGAAUCGUUAGUGUUCUGAGUCAAGGAAUAUUUAACUGGAUAAUGGAUUUAGAGAUCUAGGAUGUGAUUUUGACUGCCCUUCUGGAAAAGUCAUAAUGCCUCAGGCCAUGGAAACAGGAAACUGGAACUGAGUUUCUCACAUAAAGUUCUGUACCAUCAAAGAUCAUUCUCAUUGUGAAACGGGAAGUAGAAUAUUUUACUCACCAGUCCUAAGGAAGCACCAUCUAUCUAAGUUCAUUCAUUUUAUAAAGUAGAAGGUAUAAUAUGGAAAUGGAAAGGAGCAAAGAGAUUCACUGUCCACUUGGAGUCCUAUGAGAAUAGUGACCCAGGAGGAAUAUCAAACCUUAGCCUAUGCCAGGCCUGAAGGCACUGUCUGAAUUUACAAUACCUACCAGGUACGGGAAUCUAAGUUAUGAAAUUAACAUAAACAUAUUUGCACCGUGAUGAAAAAACUAAAGCAUCUUAGCAGGGGCAAAAGGUAAUCCUCUAUUCACCAGAAGGACCCCUCCAUGACUGAUGGAACUGGAAGACCAAUGGAAAACAUGCCCCAACAAUGGCAAACUGCCUGUCAAACAUCACAAAUGACACAAAAAAAUAAAUUCCUAUAAGAGAGUCAUAAGUUACAGCAAAUAUAGGAAUAUGAACCCCAAGAACUAAAAAAAUUGUCAAUUUAUUGUUUCAAAGUACUAUAAAUGUAUUAAUAUCAACAACUAAAGAAGAUAAAACAUAAACAGAAGAACAAAAAAAAUGAUAAAACAACCAGAGGAUAUUUGAAAGAACCAAAUAAAAUUACAGAAAUGAAAACAAUAAUCAUUUGAUGUGGGGAAAAAAGCCCUCAAUGGACAGACUAAACAAAAGAUAGGCACAGUUGAUAAGAUAAAUAGUUAGAGCAUGGAUUUGAGGAAAAGUCAUGUAGAGAGUAGAGUAGAGAGGUUAUUAAACAGAAAAAAUAUUAAAAAGUUAGGAACAUGGAAGACAGAAGAAAAGGCACCAAAUUAAGUCAAAUAGGUUUUCCAGAAACAAAAAAUAACAGGAAAUGUGAAGAUAAUAUAUUUCAAAAUAUAAUGGUUACAAUAAUUACUGCUUUACUGAAAGUUUUACAGAUUUAAUAAGACAAUGUGUAUAUAUAUUCUUUACUAAAAUAUAAUGAGCUGGGCACAGUGGCUCAUACCUUAAUCCCAGUGCUUUGGGAAGCCAAGGUGAGAGGAUCAUGUGAGGUCAGAAAUACAAGACCACCCUGGCAACAUAAUGAAACCCUGUCUCUACAAAAAAAUCUUUUACAUUAAGUGGGAGUGGUGGUGUGCACCUGUAGUCUUGGAUACUUGAGAGGCUGAGGCAGGAGUAUCACUUAAGCCCAGAAGUAUGAGGUUAUGAUGAGCUGAUCAUGCCACCGCAUUCAAGACUUGAUGACAGGGCAAGACAUCAUCUCU
Molecule: long non-coding RNA, 1499 nt
Organism: Pan troglodytes (chimpanzee)
Lineage: Eukaryota; Metazoa; Chordata; Mammalia; Primates; Hominidae
Exons: 3
Source: RefSeq, a predicted model, not a curated record